Molecule: ribosomal RNA, 406 nt
Filed under: uncultured bacterium
Lineage: Bacteria
Description: partial 16S ribosomal RNA
Rfam family: Bacterial small subunit ribosomal RNA
Source: RNAcentral
AUUGAACGCUGGCGGCAGGCCUAACACAUGCAAGUCGAGCGAGCGGCGGACGGGUGAGUAAUGUAUGGGGCUCUGUCCGAUAGAGGGGGAUAACUACUGGAAACGGUGGCUAAUACCGCAUACUAUCGGAUGAACCCACAUGGGAUUAGCUAGUAGGUGGGGUAAAGGCUCACCUAGGCGACGAUCUCUAGCUGGUCUGAGAGGAUGAGCCGCCACACUGGGACUGAGACACGACCCAGACGCCGACGGGUGGGAGCAGUGGGGAAUAUUUCGGUAUGGGCGCAAGCCUGAUGCAGCCAUGCCGCGUGUAUGAAGAAGGCCUUAGGGUUGUAAAGUACUUUCGGCGGAGAGGCGUUACCCGCAGAUGAAGCACCGGCUAACUCCGUGCCAGCAGCCGCGGUAAUUC